This is a non-coding RNA of Lolium perenne, 3080 nucleotides long. Lineage: Eukaryota; Viridiplantae; Streptophyta; Magnoliopsida; Poales; Poaceae. The record is from RefSeq and is a predicted model, not a curated record.
UGAAGGUAUAAUAGCUGCCCCCCCAUGGGGGCUUCACAGCGAUCCUCGCACGUGAGCCGUUAGAUCUUUCCAUCAGCUAAUCUCGGCCGUUCAUUGUUGGCUCAGAAUCUGCUAGAUAAAGCCAUGCAACAGACGUAUCCUACCCGCCUCAGGCUGCUCAAGGGUCCCACCAUCGUUUGGGCCCGCCCGUCAGUAGCUGCGGGUGAGGUUGGGUUCGGUCGGCCGCGUCGCACUCGCGCGUGGAAAGAUCUCCACUCGCGCUGCUCUCCUGCUGGUCCACCGGCUAGAUAAAUCCGUGCAAUUGUCGUGUGUUACCCGGCUGAGGCUGCUUGUGGGACCCACCAUUGUUCAGGUCCACUCGUCGGUCGCUGCGAGAGAGGCAGCUUCGGUCGAGCAUGUCAUCGUGGGCAUAGGGGUCCGCCGCCCACCCAAUCGCCGAUCCCAUCCUCUCCCCCAAUCCCCAGUCCCAUUUCUCUCCCCUAGAAACCCUAGGCCAGUCUCCACCACGCGAUCCACGGCCGCCGCAUCCCCUCGCCGAACCAGCAGGGGCGAGCAGCAUCAGAUGGAGCAGCAACUGCCGGGAAGAUGCGCGUGGUCGCCGGCGGCGGGAGGGCGCGGAGGAGCGUGGGCUGUAGCGGUGCUUCACCUCGCCAUGCCCUCUGCGAUUGGGUUGACGUCGAUGGCGGACGGGGCUCAGCUGGAGGUGGUGCGGCCCGGGAAGACGCGCGCGCGGGGCCGACAGCGCGAGGGCGCUGAGGAGCGUGGCCUCCCCUUCCUUCCACUUCUCCCCCCAUCCUGUCUGGUUCUUCUCCUCCUCUCCCUCAUGCCCCCAUCCCUGCCGCUGCGCGCAUCUCCUCCUCCCCUUCACGGAUGCCUCAGCAGUAGCAGCUGGAGGUCGACGGGUUCCUUCUCCUCCUAUCUCCCUUGCGCCCCCAUCCUGGCCGCUACCUCGUGCACAUCUCCUCCUCCCCAUCGCGUCUGCCUCAGCAGCAACAGCCGAAGUUCAGCCCAGAGGAACUGCAUGAACGCCGACCGCCACAUGUCUCACUUUAUCUAUGCCUACAAGGUGCUUGACAAAAUACCUGACUAUGAAGAGAUGAUUGCUUGGACUGUUCUGGAAAGUGGCGGUAGGAGGUACCGAAACCAUGAAAAAAUGCAAUUUUAAUAGAAACAUGGAAUGAGUUCUGAUUCUUCUCAUUUUAGUUACAAUCAUCUUUUUGAAUCUUAUUUUUUGGUAUUCAUGCUUCAUACAUUAUAUUUAUCCUUAAUCCAUGGCGGUCUCACUGCUCUUAUGCAUGUCCUGCAGUUUCGUCAAGUAUUUGAUACCCUAAUUUGUACUCUAAUGACUUCUGGUGGUAUAAUAUGCUCAAGAAUAUGUAGCUUGGUGACUGUAUCAGUGAUAGAUUGAGCAAGCUUGGCUUACAUGUCGUGUUGAUUUCAGACUUGGAAGGAGAAGCUAAUUGAGCAUCGUUCUCCAGUUCAGGCAACCACGUUCUGGAGCUACCUGUCAGACUACUACUUGAACACGAUGAUUGAAGUGGCGCGAUAGUACACAUGCUCAAGAGCUACCUUAACAUGUUCAGCUAACAAUCAUAUAGGCACCGCGUGCCUAGACAAUCAGAGUUGUACGUUCAGCAUCCGGGUAGAGCUCGGCAUGGGGAGCAAGCAGGGAAGAUGCGGACUGAGGUGAUGCAGCGGUGUGAGGCCGCUGUUGCAGCUAGAUAGGUUCAUGUAACAUCGUCCUAGAUUUCUCCAUCCGUGAUCUCUAGAUUGAAUGACCCAUGUUAAUUUCUGUUCUUCUUUCAUUUGUUCUACACCCGCUUCUUGAAGUAAAUUGGCAAACAAGGCCAUGGGAGACCAACGCGGAAGGCAUCUUAGCCCAGCCAUGAGGCGUUUUUGUUUAGGCAAGAGGACUGCGGCAAAAUCUUCGCCGCUGCUCGAUGGAGGAGGGGGAUCGCGAUCUGCAAAAGGAGGUGCAGUGUUGGGGGCUUAUGAUGUGUCGCCACUACCUGGAGUCACUUUGUCGCCGUGACCAUUACCAUUGCCUAACAAGGUGAUUUAUCUAUUGUAUAUCACUCUGUCUGCUGAUGCACAUUUGAAAUUUUCUGAAAUUUAUGGGAACUGAAGGAAAAUAUGGAUGCAAGCAACAUGCACUUUUAUGCUUUUUUCUAUGCCAUAUAUAGUUGGUUACAGUUUUCUGAAAGUAAAGUGAGCUAAAUAUAUGUUCUUUCUAGCAAAAUCUAACUGGCAUUGCUGUUAUCGCAUUUAUUUCAGGUGACUUUCCUAUUGCACAUCACAAUUUCUGGUGACACAUAUGUGAAGUUUGUUGCAGAUUUUUGAAGUGAAGGAAAAUAUGGACACAACCAACAUGCCGGAUUAAAAUUUGUCGACAAUUCUUUUCGUCUAGCAAAUGCAUCCUACUUACUAAUGGUGGCCCAGAUUACUGUGUGUCCAUAAGCUAUGUUUGUAAGACCAGCCAAUGGGACUGCACCUGCUGCCAAUGAGUGUGUCGUUGUGCCCGAUGAAUUGGUAUAUAGCAGGGGUGGAGCCAACCUGAUGAUAGAGCCUAAGUAAAAAUAAAUAAAGUCUGACUUACGUUUGCCCAUGGAAAUAGAGGAUUAGUUCGUUUCCCUUCAAGAAUCAAUAGUUGCAAUACCUUGAAGAAUAAUGAAGAAAUUAUGAUGUGUACGGAUUAGUGAAAGGCAAUGGAACCUGUGAUGGCUUGCUGAGAGCAGGAGAAAAACAUUUAUAGAGCCCCUUACAGGUGGCUGUAUGAUUAUACUUUUGCUUGGAUACUAUAUGAAGAAACUUAAAAAUGCGUUGAGAAAAUCCUCUUGACCCACUAAAUAUCCAAGGGUUCCUUAUUUAAAGUCCAUGGCUACUGAUCUGGUGAAACUGAUAUUGGUAGCAAGUUGAACUGUACCUCAUGGAUGACAAGAUAUAGUUAUGUCGCUUCAGGUUGUAGGAUAAGGUCAUUUGCCCAUUUCACUUCCAAACUAAAAACGUUGAAUACAAUUUAAUUGGUUCAUUCCUGAGUAUGUGCUUUCUUCCCAUCUAUUAUUAGAUUGUACGCCUUUUAA